UUCUCCAGUGGCCUAGUGGUUAGAGCGUCCGCCUUGGAUGCUGGAGGUCUUGGGUUCGAUCCCUGACUGAGUCAUACAAA
Non-coding RNA from Potamilus streckersoni, 80 nucleotides. NCBI's taxonomy places the organism in Eukaryota, Metazoa, Mollusca, Bivalvia, Unionida, Unionidae. The record is from the annotation of a GenBank genome assembly.